This is a long non-coding RNA of Saccostrea echinata, 183 nucleotides long. RefSeq lists it as uncharacterized. The transcript has 3 exons. Lineage: Eukaryota; Metazoa; Mollusca; Bivalvia; Ostreida; Ostreidae. The record is from RefSeq and is a predicted model, not a curated record.
AUCGUGUGAAUUAAGUUCAAGAUUUGCCUAUUGUGAGCAUUCAGAUACCUCGGUAAUACAGAAUGGGUAAAAAAAUGCACAAAGGUUAAUCACAUCAUGCUGCAUUGCACUGUAACAGAACAAUUUAUCUGAUGCAAGCAUCAAUCAUGAGAAUAAGAAAGGAGGUUAGGUCCAAAGAGAAGG